Long non-coding RNA from Bubalus bubalis (water buffalo), 428 nucleotides. RefSeq lists it as uncharacterized. Lineage: Eukaryota; Metazoa; Chordata; Mammalia; Artiodactyla; Bovidae. The record is from RefSeq and is a predicted model, not a curated record. The transcript is spliced from 3 exons.
CCAUUAGUGGUCCUCUUCAGCCACUGAUCACUGCCAUAGUGGGCCCCUCCCACAAGCAACCAACUGUCAGUGAGUGACCAUUAGUGGUCCCAUUUGUUGGUGGAAUAGUGGUCCUCAAGCAGAGAGUGAGGGAUGUGUUUGCCUCAUGAGGGAUAUUUCUAUUAUUUGAUAUUAUGGAAAGCUGAAAAAAACUGAGAAGUAAGAGACCAGACCAUCAAAUAUCAUUUAAUAGCAAUUGCUAAGAAUAAUCGUGAUGACUUAGAAGAAUAUGGAUUGGAACAAAUAUGACUAAAACUAAAAGGCAGAAUAAUUGAAGGGUGAAGGAAAGAACAUUUAGAAAACAGAUGUUGUAUUAACCAUAACCAUUAUCCUUUAUUGGAUCCCAAAGAGGUUUAUCUCUAUCCAUAAACAGGUGAGGGAGAUACAAG